GCUCUGUCUGCUAGACCGCAGC
Molecule: microRNA, 22 nt
Filed under: Ornithorhynchus anatinus (platypus)
Lineage: Eukaryota; Metazoa; Chordata; Mammalia; Monotremata; Ornithorhynchidae
Description: oan-miR-7410-5p
Source: miRBase by way of RNAcentral